Molecule: ribosomal RNA, 253 nt
Filed under: uncultured bacterium
Lineage: Bacteria
Description: partial 16S ribosomal RNA
Rfam family: Bacterial small subunit ribosomal RNA
Source: RNAcentral
GACGUAGGGCGCGAGCGUUGUCCGGAUUUAUUGGGCGUAAAGAGCUCGUAGGCGGCUUGUCGCGUCGACCGUGAAAACUUGGGGCUCAACCCCAAGCCUGCGGUCGAUACGGGCAGACUAGAGUCAGGUAGGGGAGAACGGAAUUCCUGGUGUAGCGGUGAAAUGCGCAGAUAUCAGGAGGAACACCGGUGGCGAAGGCGGUUCUCUGGGCCUGUACUGACGCUGAGGAACGAAAGCGUGGGGAGCGAACAGG